Molecule: ribosomal RNA, 508 nt
Filed under: uncultured bacterium
Lineage: Bacteria
Description: partial 16S ribosomal RNA
Rfam family: Bacterial small subunit ribosomal RNA
Source: RNAcentral
UGGGGAAUAUUGGACAAUGGGGGCAACCCUGAUCCAGCCAUACGCGUGUGUGAAGAAGGCCUUUUGGUUGUAAAGCACUUUAAGCAGGGAGGAGAGGCUAAUGGUUAAUACCCAUUAGAUUAGACGUUACCUGCAGAAUAAGCACCGGCUAACUCUGUGCCAGCAGCCGCGGUAAUACAGAGGGUGCGAGCGUUAAUCGGAAUUACUGGGCGUAAAGCGAGUGUAGGUGGCUCAUUAAGUCACAUGUGAAAUCCCCGGGCUUAACCUGGGAACUGCAUGUGAUACUGGUGGUGCUAGAAUAUGUGAGAGGGAAGUAGAAUUCCCAGGUGUAGCGGUGAAAUGCGUAGAGAUCUGGAGGAAUACCGAUGGCGAAGGCAGCUUCCUGGCAUAAUAUUGACACUGAGAUUCGAAAGCGUGGGUAGCAAAACAGGAUUAGAUACCCUGGUAGUCCACGCCGUAAACGAUGUCUACUAGCCGUUGGGGUCCUUGAGACUUUAGUGGCGCAGUU